RNAcentral lists this non-coding RNA (22 nucleotides) under Rattus norvegicus (Norway rat). The record is from RNAcentral. Lineage: Eukaryota; Metazoa; Chordata; Mammalia; Rodentia; Muridae.
UAUGUGGGUUAAAGCUAUUGAC